UACGGGGGGGGCAAGCGUUGUUCGGAAUUACUGGGCGUAAAGGGCUCGUAGGUGGCCAACUAAGUCACACGUGAAAUCCCUCGGCUUAACCGGGGAACUGCGUGUGAUACUGGAUGGCUUGAGUUUGGGAGAGGGAUGCGGAAUUCCAGGUGUAGCGGUGAAAUGCGUAGAUAUCUGGAGGAACACCGGUGGCGAAGGCGGCAUCCUGGACCAAUGCUGACGCUGAGGAGCGAAAGCGUGGGGAGCGAACAGG
This 253-nucleotide ribosomal RNA is filed under the name uncultured bacterium. RNAcentral describes it as "partial 16S ribosomal RNA". It matches the Rfam family "Bacterial small subunit ribosomal RNA", at positions 524 to 776 of the family's 1533-position model. The record is from RNAcentral.